Molecule: ribosomal RNA, 1418 nt
Filed under: Salmacisia buchloeana
Lineage: Eukaryota; Fungi; Basidiomycota; Exobasidiomycetes; Tilletiales; Tilletiaceae
Description: bacterial SSU rRNA
Rfam family: Bacterial small subunit ribosomal RNA
Source: RNAcentral
UCUGUUUAAUCUUGGCAGAGUUUGAACGUUAUUUGGUAGUUUUACUCAUGCAAGUUAAUAAUAAACAUUAUUAGCGUACAGGCGAGUAUAAAUAAGUAUAUACCAAUAAAAUCAUAUUAUAAGGUAGUAUUAGGUUAUCAUUGUUACGAUUUUAUUGAUUAACUUAUGUUUUAGCAGGUAGUUGGUAUAGGUAAAAGCUUACCAAGCCCAUGACAAAUAAGAAUGAGCGAAAGCUUAGUUUCUCGCAAUUGGUUUGAGAAUAACCGAUCACAUCUAAAUAACUAGAUAUGCUGCAGAGGAGUAUCUUGGGCAAUGCUCGAAAGAGUGACCCAGCUAACCAAAACUCGUAAAGAGUAAAGUAAGGGAGGAUAAUAUGAAUGAAUUUUAGUAAAUUCAAAUGACGUUACCUUACUACAAGUCCAAUCUAAGUUUCGUGCCAGCCGAAGCGGUUAAACGAACUGGGCUAACGUUAAAUAGAAUAAAUAGGUAUUAAGGAUUCGUAGGUGGUAUCAUAAAUACUAGAAUUGAAUAGAGGAUAACAGAAUGCUAAGAGAAGGGUUGACAUCCAUUGAUACUUAGUAGAAUUCUAAAGGCGAAGGCAGUUAUCUAGCUACCAAUUGACACUGAGGAAUGAAAGUUUGGGGAGCAAAACGAAUUAGAUACUCGUGUAGUCCAGACUGUAAACUAUUUACACUUUAUAUUUAGUAAGUAUACAAAAUUAGAUAAUAAGCAAACCGCUUUAUGUGUAACACCUUGUGAGUACUGUUUCAAGACAGAAAGCAAAAAGAUUAGACCAUCUUAAAGACCCGGAGUGGAGCAUGUUGUUUAAUACGAUAAUCCGCGUAGAACCUUACCUCUCCUUGUAUAAUAUAACUAUUUUAAGAUAUAACAAGUUAUAUUACAGGUGUUGCAUGGCUGUCGGCAGUUCGUGUCGUGAGAUGUUAGGUUGAGUCCGCUAACGAACGCAAUCCCUAUCUUUAAUUAUACAUUUAAAGAACUAUUUUUAUAAAAAAUGUUUUGGGAAUACGAUAAGUCUUCAUGACCCUUAUGGAGCAAGGGCUACAGACGUGCUACUUGAACCUAUCAAAGCGUAGCAAUUACAGUUUCAAAGACUUUUUCAGCUAUAGGAUUUGUAGUACUGUAUAUAAAAAAAGCAAAUCGUUAACAAAGGUGAUAUUAGGAUCGUAAUCUGAAAUUCGGUUACGUGAAUCAGGAAUUCCGAGUAAUCAUUGAUAAGUAUGCAAUGGUGAACUAUUACAUUUAAGAGAUACUAAUCGUCUAUCACAUGGGGGCCAUUCUGUAAUCAAAAACAUUUGUAAAUUUAUAAUAGUACUUGUUUACUAUAUUUUAUAAAUGGAAUGAUGAGGAGUUUCUCUCGUGAAGUUAUAGCAAAGUAGCCGUAAGGGAACUUGUGGCUG